CUCAAACCUUUUUGGUUUCUUGACCAAGAAGGCUUUGGACUCUGGAGGUUCUUGCUGGCCUUUCUUUAUUGAAGCCAGCUCCUCUGAAAUGAAUUAGUGGGAUCCACUUUGCUGAUCCUUGACAUGAUAAGAUAUUUCUACAUCUUGGAUCUCACACCAUUUCACUCUGGAUCCUGCUUCUAACUGUCUCAUAGAAGACAAUGGUUGAGUGAUUGCCACUUGACCCACAAA
Molecule: unclassified non-coding RNA, 231 nt
Filed under: uncultured Russula
Lineage: Eukaryota; Fungi; Basidiomycota; Agaricomycetes; Russulales; Russulaceae
Description: sequence contains ITS2
Source: RNAcentral